RNAcentral lists this long non-coding RNA (212 nucleotides) under Manihot esculenta (cassava). Its description in RNAcentral is "long non-coding RNA (MESC_LNC011700)". Lineage: Eukaryota; Viridiplantae; Streptophyta; Magnoliopsida; Malpighiales; Euphorbiaceae. The record is from RNAcentral.
AGGGUUCUAGCUCUGUUGAGCGAGUUUAAUAGUUAGGACAGGGAAUCAGCCUCAGUACCCAGUGCUAGUGAGCUCUGGAUGUUUCUCAGACGAGUUGUCAGGUUUUCCAUCUGUUAGGGAGUCAGAGUUUGGAAUGAAAAUGGUAUCUGGACGCAGAACCAAUUCUUUCUUUCCUUUUCCUACAGAAUGGCACCUGCAGAGAGAGCUAAGAG